RNAcentral lists this ribosomal RNA (545 nucleotides) under Salmonella enterica subsp. enterica serovar Typhimurium. RNAcentral's name for it is "partial 23S ribosomal RNA". It matches the Rfam family "Bacterial large subunit ribosomal RNA", at positions 68 to 652 of the family's 2925-position model. Lineage: Bacteria; Pseudomonadati; Pseudomonadota; Gammaproteobacteria; Enterobacterales; Enterobacteriaceae. The record is from RNAcentral.
GCGAUAAGCGCCGGUAAGGUGAUAUGAACCGUUAUAACCGGCGAUACCCGAAUGGGGAAACCCAGUGUGAUUCGUCACACUAUCAUUAACUGAAUCCAUAGGUUAAUGAGGCGAACCGGGGGAACUGAAACAUCUAAGUACCCCGAGGAAAAGAAAUCAACCGAGAUUCCCCCAGUAGCGGCGAGCGAACGGGGAGGAGCCCAGAGCCUGAAUCAGCAUGUGUGUUAGUGGAAGCGUCUGGAAAGGCGCGCGAUACAGGGUGACAGCCCCGUACACAAAAGCGCAUGUGCUGUGAGCUCGAUGAGUAGGGCGGGACACGUGGUAUCCUGUCUGAAUAUGGGGGGACCAUCCUCCAAGGCUAAAUACUCCUGACUGACCGAUAGUGAACCAGUACCGUGAGGGAAAGGCGAAAAGAACCCCGGCGAGGGGAGUGAAAAAGAACCUGAAACCGUGUACGUACAAGCAGUGGGAGCACCCUUCGGGGUGUGACUGCGUACCUUUUGUAUAAUGGGUCAGCGACUUAUAUUCUGUAGCAAGGUUAACCG